GACGAACGCUGGCGGCGUGCUUAACACAUGCAAGUCGAGCGAUGAAAUCCCUUCGGGGAUGAAUUAGCGGCGGACGGGUGAGUAACACGCGGGUAACCUGCCUCAAAGAGGGGGAUAGCCUCCCGAAAGGGAGAUUAAUACCGCAUAACAUUAGUUUUUCGCAUGGAGAACUAAUUAAAGGAGUAAUCCGCUUUGAGAUGGACCCGCGGCGCAUUAGCUAGUUGGUGAGGUAACGGCUCACCAAGGCGACGAUGCGUAGCCGACCUGAGAGGGUGAUCGGCCACAUUGGAACUGAGAUACGGUCCAGACUCCUACGGGAGGCAGCAGUGGGGAAUAUUGCACAAUGGGCGAAAGCCUGAUGCAGCAACGCCGCGUGAGUGAUGAAGGCCUUCGGGUUGUAAAGCUCUGUCUUUUGGGACGAUAAUGACGGUACCAAAGGAGGAAGCCACGGCUAACUACGUGCCAGCCGCCGCCGUAA
RNAcentral lists this ribosomal RNA (478 nucleotides) under uncultured bacterium. RNAcentral's name for it is "partial 16S ribosomal RNA". It matches the Rfam family "Bacterial small subunit ribosomal RNA", at positions 28 to 523 of the family's 1533-position model. The record is from RNAcentral.